GACUUGCCCAGUUUUCUUUCCUGGUGAGUCGCCCCUCAUUAUGUACCCGCACCACUAUUCCGACGCCGGAUAAAUUAAAUGAGCAAAUAUCUAUCCCGAGAUCCAUAUAGGCACUUGACGUGUACAUAUCGAGUUAUUUCGUCAGUCACUGGCCUGCACAUAUCAUUAUCCCGUCUCAUUUGCCGUGUUCCUGCUCCGAAUAAGCUAAACUAAAUUCCUCACCAUGCCUGUCGACUUUUCCGGUAAAUGGGCCGUCGCUAAAUUCGACGAUUUCUCGCCACUGCUCGAAAAACUUCAAAUACCCGAAGACAAGCGACCACCACCCAAUUUCAUCUCCAAACUCACAGUCGAGGUGAGACACAAUGGCGACCGCAUCGAGAUCGUCAGUCAAACUUCGAUGGGCGAGCGGGUCAACGCGGUCGAGGUCGGGAAAACUUGCAAGUUCGUCAUGUUCGGCAACAUGAUCGAGGCGGACGUCACAGCUGCUUGGGAUGGCGAUCGUUUGGUGAUCACCGAUACCGGCCGCGGUGUCAAGCUCAUUCGCGAGCUGGUUGGAGACCAAACCUUGUGCACGUUCGUCUUGGGCGAUGUUGAAGUCAAGCUCUACUACGAUAGAGUGUAGAUCGUCGUCAUUCGCUCCACAUUUUAUUCAACAUAUGGAUAUUCCUAUCCGACAAUGAAUAUCGUCUGGGGUUCUUUAAAAUUUCAAGACCAGACUCUAGAAUCAGAGGUUAAGAUGGAUUUAUUUCUCAAGCUACCGAGAUGAAGUCUCAAUGUGAGGAUCGAUGUAAAGAUAAUCGAGUUCCAUGUGCCUCCCAGACUAUAACACGAGUCAUGACCAUAUACGGAGCGGCCUCUAAGAACCGCUUUAAGGAGACAUGGCAUUUCCCCCCCUAACUUGUUCCCAAGAGUUACUUACUUGUCCCUUACUCGUUCAUUCGACUUAAAUAAUUUAUGUAACUAGUUCGAUUGGAACGAGUUUUAAGUCGAGGAAACGAGUUAUAAGUCGAGGACCGAUUUAUAAGUCAAGGGAACGAGCUUUAAGUCGAGGAAACGAGUUAUAAGUCGAGGAAACGAGUUAUAAGUCAAGGGAACGAGUAAUAAGUCGAGGAAACGAGUUAUAAGUCGAGGAAACGAGUUAUAAGUCGAGGACCGAGUUAUAAGUCAAGCUAGGGAACGACUUAUUUACUCACGGGAACGAGUUAGGGGAUAACCAUGUCAUGUAACCUUAGGUACUCUGAAGUAAUGUAACCACAGGCGUUAAAGUUAAAAAUAAUUUAAGAUUUACGGGACAAUCUUUAACCUGAUAGCCUAUAAUAAAGCGACUUUAAUUAUUUACAAAGGCUCUUUACAAGUUAAGAGUCCCAGCUAGCAAGGUAUUUGAGAGUUUGCCCUUUCGAAAGGUAAAAUACAGGUACGUGUCCCAUUGAUAUCCCAUGCCCGAUAUAUAAGAUAUGUUGAAUAUACAUAAUUGUUUCACUUUCUUAUCCAAAUAAACAAAAUGAUCCGAUGACAACAUAUUGAUACGAAAGCGCCUGAAAAUGUGUCCGAAAAUCGACAAUGGUAAAUAGUAUCAGGCACCGUCAUACAGAUCGUACAGUUGUAGGGGGGGGGCUUGGAGGCUGUUGCCACUAUUGUAAAACUGAAAGUUACAAUUGGAAAUAAGAGUUAUCACUCUUGCUUUGUCAUCAUGUUUACAGAUUCUUUCGGGCUUUCUAUACUAAAUUUGUGAAUAAUUGUUUGCAGAGAUUGAAUAACCCACUUCGUAUGUUACACAUCUUGCCAUUUUUUUUCUUAAAAUAAUUUAACAUAAGAAUUAAAAUACUCAAUUUCAUUCUAGUGAUUCGUUUCGUACUAUAUUUUUUUUCGUGCAUUUUCGUUGACUUGUAUCUUAUUUUGGAUCGAGAACGUGAAAACUGCCUCUUUCGUUCAAGCCUUGAUAGAGGAAAUGUUGAAAUGAGCAUUAGAUAGAAUUAGAUGGAAAUUGGAAAUGUGUACUAGUUAGAAUUAGAUGAAAUUUCCAUUAGUUAGAAUAGAUGAAAAAUUUGUACUGUGUAAGUUUGUGCAUUAAACUUAUGUAAAGCAUUGGAA
Lytechinus pictus (painted urchin) is the source of this 2091-nucleotide long non-coding RNA. RefSeq lists it as uncharacterized. The record is from RefSeq and is a predicted model, not a curated record. The transcript has 2 exons. NCBI's taxonomy places the organism in Eukaryota, Metazoa, Echinodermata, Echinoidea, Temnopleuroida, Toxopneustidae.